Long non-coding RNA from Chrysolophus pictus (golden pheasant), 1785 nucleotides. The record is from Ensembl. NCBI's taxonomy places the organism in Eukaryota, Metazoa, Chordata, Aves, Galliformes, Phasianidae.
GUGAAGGUGAAGGCUCACCAUGGCUGCAGUGUGGCUCAUCACCUGGGCACUGCUCCUGGCCGACAGGGUCUCCACCAUGGCCCAGGAGGCACUGACCCCAGAUGAGACACCACAGCAGGGCAGGGUACCCCUGCAUGUCCCAUCCUGGGGACACCUGGGGACACCCCCAGCCUGGGAUGCAUCGGGGGAGCUGAGUGGUGCUGGGAACAUCGAGAGUGAGCACUGGAGAGGUGGCAGCCCCGUGCACUGGUCUCAACUGCCACAGAUGGGCACUGUCACCAGGACACCUCGGGUGACAGGGGCAAGCCUGGCAGGUGACACAACCCUGGCUGUGGUGGAGGAGUCCUUCAUCACCUGGCAAGGACAAGAGGCUGAAGGCCAGGACAACCCCAGGGGGAAAACAGAGCUGCCUCACAGCUCCACACCAGGGAUGCCAUCCCCCCAGGUGCCCAUGGACACAGGGCCACCCUGGGCAGGUCAAGGGAUGCUCCCAUCUGAGCAAAGUGCAUCCCUGGCAGGCAGCACUCCCAGCCCUCAGCCAACCAUGUCCACCAUUGCCCUGACCCCAGAACCAGCAGUGGGGACUGGAGUGGUGACAGCAGCCAUGCACACCUGGAGACAGCCAGCAGCUGCGGGCAGCAGCAAGCAGGGACGAUGGGGUCACCUCAGCACUGCCCCUGCCUCCACCCUCGGGGAGCACAGAGCCCCAUCCCGUGAGCUGUCACCCAAGAUGGCGCAGGAGGUGAGGGCUGAGACCUGGACCUGGCUGCUGCCUGCACAUCAGAGGAGCACACGCAGAGCCCCACUCAGCAAUGCCACCACCGGGGAUGUGGCACCUGCCAGGUCAACAAGACUGCGGGACCCCCAACCCACCCUCAGCACUAGCAUCACACCGCCGCCCAUCUCCAGCACGUCCCCCCCUGGCACUCCUUAUACAGGGCUGCUCCCUGAGCAAGACAUUGGCUCCCCACAGCGAGUCCGGGGUGCUGUGGGGCACGGCAGCAUCCCCAAUGCCACCGAGGUUGCCGUGCCCACAGUGCGCCCCACAGCAGGGACACCAUCCAGCACCAGGCGCUCAGAUGCCGCAGGGACACAGCCCCCUGCCGCCAGCAGCACCGCAAUGCCCUCAGCCACGUGGCGGCACGGAGUGGUGUGGGUGACAACACAGCGUGUCCCAUGGCGUCCCAUGAAGCCGGAGCCCAGCAAGCCCCCCACAGAGCCCAGCAUCUGUACGGAGGCUUCGUGUGCUGCUGGGAACUCCAACACGACAGCAGCGGGCUGGGCUGAGCUACGCCGUCCCCUUCGCAUCGCCUGGGCCGUGCACGCCUACGUGGGGGCCGCGCUGUGCCUGCUGCUGGCGCUGGGCUGCGUAGCGGGGCUGGGGGGGACCAUCCUGCAGCGCCCACCCCAAUGCGCCCUACUGCUGGGCACCACGGGGCUGCUGCUGGCCGCCAGCCUGCUGCGGGGCACCUUCCUGCUGCUGGACCCCUAUGGGGUGCGGGGCCGGCUGCCGCCCCGCUGCAUGCUGCUGCUCUGCUCCGUGCCCUUCACGCUGCUGGUGGGAGCCUUCGCUCUGCUGCUGGGCCGCCUGCAGCGCAUGGCACAGCUCUGCCUGCUGCCCCCCUCCCUGGGGGGGCUGCCCGCGCUCGGGGUCACAGCCGUGCUGCAGUGCCUGGCCCCCGUGGCGGCCGAUCUGCUGUGGCCACAAUGGGGUUUAGGCGCGGGGUUAGCGCUGCACGGGGUGGGCUGCGUGUUCGCCACACUGCUGCUGCUGGGGGGGCUGCG